UUAUUUGAGAGUUUGAUCCUGGCUCAGGAUGAACGCUGGCGGCGUGCCUAACACAUGCAAGUUGAGCGAUUUACUUCGGUAAAGAGCGGCGGACGGGUGAGUAACGCGUGGGUAACCUACCCUGUACACACGGAUAACAUACCGAAAGGUAUGCUAAUACGGGAUAA
RNAcentral lists this ribosomal RNA (167 nucleotides) under Clostridioides difficile. RNAcentral's name for it is "partial 16S ribosomal RNA". It matches the Rfam family "Bacterial small subunit ribosomal RNA", at positions 1 to 176 of the family's 1533-position model. Lineage: Bacteria; Bacillati; Bacillota; Clostridia; Peptostreptococcales; Peptostreptococcaceae. The record is from RNAcentral.